CACUGAGUGGACAGUAGGCUGCUAGGGUAAGGACUGGCAAGAUGGGAAGAGCCGAAAGUCAAAGGAAUGACGGAAUUGAGAGGCAAGAAAAUUUGUAUAUGCCAAAUACCUUGAGAUGCUAAGACCAAAGGGGAAAGAAGAGAGAACACUCUACACCAAAAGAGAACAUCAUCCAACUUAUUUAGGGCUUAACAGACUUCGACCUGCUAAGAUCCAAGGAAAAUGAAACACCUUAUACUUCUCACUUGAAAUUUCACCCUUGGGAUCUGCUGCUCGAUCACCAACGAGGACCAUGCUGCUGGCAGCUCAAACUUCUCACAUUUUCCCAGUCAAAUAACAACUGAUGGCAAAGGAAUCCAAUACUCUGCCCUCCCCCAGGCCUCUGUAUCAAUCUCAAAAGUGCAAUGAGAAAAAGAAAAGCAGGAGUGUCCUCCAUUUGAACACCAGAGCAGCAGGCCACAAAUAAACAGCAAAAUCAUGAACUUUCUUCCUUCCUUGCCCCAACUUCGGCCCUCAGAGUUCAGGCUCAAGAGCAUCCUGAUGUAGUACCUGACUGCUCAGUUCAAGCAGAGCACCUACUGUAAACAGUAUUCUAACAGAGGAAGGUGUCUGAGUCAUAGCAUAUCCUGGGGGCAGUUUCACAGCUUAUGGCUGGAUAAGCUCAAGGAGGAAAGAAUGCCUCUCUCAGGAGGUGGUGCUCUCCCAGCUAGUAACCAGUGUUCACACCAAGUUGACUCUGACUCAUGACAACCCAUGUGACCCUUCAAACUCCAAUCCACAGCUUACCGUGGUACAAGGUGGUUGAACUUGUAAGAACUGAAGACCUCUUGGAUCUUUUCUUCUACUUUUGCCUGGUAGGAUGCAGAAGAUAGGAGAGAGAAAACAAAUACAGAUGAGACUUCUAUCAACUUUUUCCUCUCACUGCCACAAAUGCCUAUUGGCUGGAGUUGCCUGGCAUGGUUGUAUACUUUAUAGAGCUAUAAGGCUGCGGGGUGACAAGCUUAGGACAAGGAGUAAGAGAGAACGCGCUGUACCAUUUGGCAUCACAAUCAACUCCUCCAAUAACUUAAUCCAUAAUAUCCAAACUAAUGGUGGUUUUGGAAUUGGCCUCUGUGGUACCGGUAACUCAGGGAGCAGAUGAAGACAGAUACAUUUUGCUUGCAAGAUUUAUUCUUGCCUGCUCUAUGAAGUUGUUUGGUGUUCAUUAACUAGCUGCCCUCACGUACACAAUUAAUUCCUGCCAAGGGUCAUACUUCUUACUGUCAUAUUGAACAGCUUAAAGUAUUAAAUGCCCUAAGGAAUUUAUAAGGACAUCAAUCACCGAAAACCAAAGGGAUAGCAAAUCUGGGCAUUGGUCCUACAUCACAUGCAGGACUCACUCCACAGUCUCAUAAAGCAAAGGGUCUUAGAAGGUCAGGUUACAAAACACACCAGAUCACCUGUCCUUUCUGAAUACCACACCAUAAUACACUUCCAGUGUAGCCUCAGUGAGGAAAAGGGUACUAAUGAGGGUAGGGCUGGUCAACAGGAUACAGGUUUUCACCUUCAUCAGAAUCCCUCCUCUUUGUAGUGAGGCAUGUUCUUGCUAGGAUUUCAAGAUACAUAAUAAUUGCCUCCCUGGGAAAUUUUAAAAACAUGUCAUUUAUUUCUGGAACAUUCAUUGAGUUAGAGCUUCUAGUCCCUUUGACAAGUUUGCAAGAAUUAUUUAUGAUGAGGGGUGAGCAGUGAUGUGAAUCAUCUAAAAUGGCAGCCAAUUUAAAAUUCAUUUAUAUUUGGUUAUAGGAUAUGCUUUGGUAUUUGUCUUUGAACAUGAGUUUGAGGGAUGAUCUGGCUAAGAAUUUACAAUAUUUCAAAAAACAGGCUAAAGUCACCUUGAGAACCUGACUUAAGAGGAACAAGAAAGUUGUUCCAGAUCCCUCAUAAUUCUUUUUCCAUUCCAGAAACUCAUACGGGACUAACAUGAAGCACCAGCCUAAACGGAACAAAGACGGCAUUUCUCAGUCACGUGUUCCUUAGCUCCCACAGUAUAUUCAAUAUUCUCCACCAACACCACAGUUUGAAUGUAUCGACUCUUCUUUCUUUUUCAUUAAGCAGCUGUUGGAUAUGGAUUGAAGAGACCAUGGCUUAAGUCAGAUGCACAUUACAAAUCAGAAGAAUGCACAUAAAAAUGAAGAUUUCUAGCUUCUCUCAAAAAAUUGGCAAGUUUGGACACAUAUCACAAUCAUCUAGGGCUGAGCAGUGGCUGUCCUCUUUGGAUGAGCACCUGCUUGUCAAGUCACCAGAGGCCCAAUCACUACCCGUUACCUCCCUUCUGACUUUACCUGCCUGGCCCCUUGUAGGCAUCUGAGUAUGAGACCCAUGUAGUCAAGUAAAGACCCAGAAGAAAAGGAAAAUGACUGGAAAGUAGCUCUAAGGCAGUGGUUCUCAAAGUGCGGCUCCCAGACUACAGCAACAAUACUACUGGGAACUUGUUAGAAAUGCAGUCUCUGGUCACAUGCUGGGUCUGCAGAAUCAGAAAAUACAUGGGUGGGGUCCACUCGACUGUUUUUGAACAAAAUCCAGAGGAUUCUGAUGUAUGCUAACAUUUGAGAACCCAUGCUAAGGAAUAAAGAGAUUGAAAAAGGCUUUUAGUAGUGGUAACAGUCACUGUAAAUGAGAUGAGUCUUGCCAUCCUUGCUUCUAAGAAGUACUCUGGCCGUACCCCUUCCAAGACAGAUUCAUUUGUUCUUUUGGCAGUCCGCAGUAUUUUCACAAAAUCUGACUAGGAAGAAGUACAGCCAGAACGCUCCUUAGAAACGAGGAUGGCCAGACUUCAUCUCACGUAGUUUGGACAUGUUAUCAGGAGGGACCAGUCCCUGGAGAAGGACAUUGUGCUUGGUAAAAUAGAGGGUCAGAGAAAAAGAGGAAGAUCCUCAACAAGACAGGAUUGACACGGCGGCUGUAGCAAUGGGCUCAAAAAUGGCAACAAUUGUGAGGAUGACCCAGGACCAGGCAGUGUUUCAUUCUGGUGUAUGUAGGGUCGCUAUGAGUCAGAACCGACUCAACAGCACCCAACAACAACAAAUACUCACUGAAGACUUCAACUCAGAGGCUGAUGUGUGGAGUUGGACUUCAAAUAGUGCUUUCUUCAUUCAUAAUUACUUAAUUGCUGGUUUUUUUGUGGCUUUUUUUUACUGUUUACUGUGCCUUUUUUCUCUCAAUCAGUAAAGGAAAAACGAAGCUAAGAAGGCAAAAUAUUUCUCUGAAUAACCUAAGGCUUUGCGUAGAAGAUUCAACAGGUCAAAGUUGACCUAGUCCCCUUAUCCAGCUGUUGUUUCCCUCUAUCAAGACUGAAAUCCUUUAUGAAUCAGAGCAGACGUUCUCAACCUUGGCUACAUAUUGGAAUUGCCUGGGGAGCUUUAAAAAAAAAUGCUGAUGCCUCAUAAGGAGAAGUGAAGUCCUGAUACAUGCCACAACAUGCAUGAACCUUGAAAACAUUACACUGAGUGAAGUCAGUCACAAAGGACAAAUACUGAAUGAACUCACUUAAAUGAAGUAAGUAAAUAUACCAAAACUAAAGCUUAUUAGUUACCGGGGUGGGAGGAAGAUAAGAAGAGAGGGGUUUUGCUUUGGGGACGCUGAGUUUACCUUAAUGGUGGUGGAAUAACUAGGAAGGAGAUAGGGAUAAGGGUGCAACAUGAGGAGUGCAAUCAAUGUCACUGAAUUGUGCACGCAGAAACUGUUGAAUUGUGGAAUGUUCUGUUGUGUAUAUUUGCAUCACAAUAUUAAAAUGCUGAUGCCUAGGCCCCAUUCCUAAAUAUUCUAAUUUAAUUCAUCCAGGGUGAGGCCUGGACACCAGGAGUUGUGAAUCACUGCCCUGUCAAUGCCUUUAAAAAAAAAAAAAAAACUUUAACACCAGGUGCUUCUAGAAGUAAUGAUGGAAAGCUAAGUUUAUAUCACAAACCAAAAUAAACACUAGAAGGUGGCUCCCAGUGGCCUUUACAAUAUAUCUUAACAGCAGUAACCCCUCAGCACAUACAGGGCAGGUGCUUAUCAUUACUAUGGUGUAACAACAUUCAGGAACCUUCCUUUUGUACCAGUUUUGCCUCCACUUGCAAUUCAAUUUCUUUACUCCACAUAAAUGUGUGGUUUUUACUUUUCCUUUGAACUAGUCAUAACAUCUGCCUGGUUCCCUCAUGUGUAAGUAAAAUAAAAUUUUGAGCAUGUGUUCAUUUUUACAUCUGUAUGAGAGUCAUGAUUUUACCUUUUCCUGAAAAUGAUCUUUUAACGGUAGUUACACAGGAGGAACCAGUCCUAAAUAUGUCAAUUUGGAGAGAGAUCAAAAACAAUGUUAAAUUUUUAAAAAGCAAGAUGACAGAGUGCAACACGAUUCAUGUAAGUUUUUAAAAACAAUUCACAAAUACAGUGCAUAUGGACACAUAAAAGGAUUAAAGGUGAAGUGGAAGGGUACAUCCCCCAACUCUUGCGACAGGCUGCCUCUGGGGAGGGAGGCCAGCUGUACUGGGGAUGGGGUUAAAGGAUAUUGGCUAUAUCUGUAACUGUUUUUCUUUAAACAAAUAAUCACAGUGAAAAAAAAUUUUUAAAAGAUGUUAACAACUGUUAAUUCUAGGUUAUGGGAAAACGGCUGUUAAUUAUGUUGUUAUUUGUACUUUUUGUUAAUGAUGAUAUUUCCUUUUAAAAAGGAUUUCAAAGUGCUAAGAUUUGUGAUGCCUUAUCACCCAAGCUUUCCCACGCCUCUGCAAGGAAGCUGUGUUCUGGAUGUUCAUCGAUAAAUCAGUUGUUUAGACUUUAUUUGUUUCCCCACCAAGACAAUGUUAUACCUAAUUGUUAGGUUCCCAGGCCGGCCCUCCUUAAUCUAUCAGCCAAAAAAACCACAACCACUGCCUUCGAGUUAAUUUCAACUCAUAGCAAUCGUAUAGGGCAGAGCAGAACUGCCCCACAGGGCUUCCAAGGCUGUAAUCUUUAAGGGAGCGGCUGAUGGGUUUGAACUGCCUGCCUAUCCUAACAGCACAUCUCUCACCUUCUCUGGCACAGUCAUAAGGCAACUCUCCACUUGGGUUACAGCAAAAAAAAAGAAUAGUUCAAAAUUAAGUCUACUUGUUUACUGGUUUGUCAGGAGUCCUGGUAGCGCAUUAGUUAAAGCGCUUAGCUGCUAACCAAAAGGUCAGUGAUUCGAGUCAGAACCGUUUCGACAGCAGUAGGUUUGGUCUGGGUUUUUCGGUUUGUCAGAAGCCCUGGUGGUACGGUGGUUAGACUUGGCUGGUAACAGAAAGUUCGGCAAUUUGAACCCGCCAGCCGCUCCACGGGACAAAAACGUGGCAGUCUAUUUCUGUCUUAUCUCUACUCUGUCCUAUAGGGUUGCUAUGAGUCGAAAUUGACUCAACGGCAAUGAGUUUGGGUUUUUUGGUUUGUCAGUUUAUCCCUGCUUCUGGGAGGACACGGACUGUUUCUAUGAACGGAAUAUUUUUAAGUUUGCUUAACUCAGAUUUUAUAUGUGUAUGUGUGUGUAUACAUAUGUAACACACACACGCAUAUAUAUCUUUAAAAUAUAUAAACUAAGAUUUUUUUUAUAUACCUAUACCUGUGUGUAUGUAUACAUAUACUUUUCAGUUAUAUACGUGAUAUAAACUUAUAUAUGUAUAUAUUAGUUUAUAUACGCAACUACAUAUAUAUGAGUUCGUGUUUUUCAACAAUGAAGAGAUUGAGCUAGACUCUAGGGGUAGAGAUUAAACAACUCUACCCAAAUCCCCAAGACUUGGAUGCCAGGGCAAUAAAUAAAUGAAGAUCUAACCAUCAACCUCAUUCUCAACAGCUUUGUUUUUCUAGAAAUCCAAUCCAUAGAAGCGCAGAAUAAAUUUCAUUCACCGAUGAGUGGUAAGAGCCAACUAAAGCAUUUGAUACUUUCUCUUUCGCAGCUUCCAUCUAAAACCAAUUUCGUGGAGCACCAACUUUCAUCUCAUGGGCUAUCACUUCCCUUUUUCCCCCCCUCUCCCAUAGGAGGACCAUUCCAGAAAGCAGACUUGCUGCCUGAGAUUCAUAUUAAUGCUUAAACCACAGUAAAGAACCAUUAAUACAUUAAAUAUAUGGCAAAGAUUUUUCUUUAAAAAAAAAAAUCUUUAUAUAUAUGCCUCAGAAAAGACAAGUGACCUUACAAAGGUCCUCUGGCUAGGGGAAGUUCUUUCAAUUAUUUUGAAUAUUACCACCCAUCUGUCAGUUUUUUGUACUGUGGUGGCUUGCAUGUUGCUAUGAUGCUGGAAACUAUGCCACUGGUAUUUCAAAUACCAGCAGGGUCACCCAUGUUGAGCUCCCAGUGGAGCUUCCAGACUGAUGGACUAGGAAGAAUGGCCUGGUAAUCCACGUCUGAAAAUUAGCCAAUGAAAACCAUAUGGAUCACAACUGAAUACUGUUCAGUAUAGUGCUGAAAAAUGAGUCUCCUAGGUUAGAAGGCACUCAAAAUACACAGUAGCUCCAAUACUAGACUCAAACAUACCAAGGAUCAUAAAGGUGGCUCAGGACCAGGCAUCACUUCCUUUCAUCAUACACAGGGUCACCAUAAGUUGAUUCUGAUGGUAAUAACAACAUUCUGAACACAAGGUAACCAGUUGGGGGUUGACACAGGCUGGUUUUGGCUGCUUACAGAGUGGAAACUUGUACAAGUAUGAGCGAAAGAGAAAGACAAGCACAGAUUUAGUAUUUAUUCCUGGAGAUACGAACUCACAGUUCAAAGUGUAGGUUGCCAUUGUAAGCCAGCUUUUUAAGGUUCAUUUUAAAAAAUAAUAGAAUAAAUGCCCUUUAUCACCGCUCUUAUUCAACAUUGUGCUAGAAGUCCUAGCCAGAGCAAUUAGGCUAGACAAAGAAAUAAAGGGCAUCCGGAUUGGCAAAGAGGAAGUAAAAUUAUCUCUAUUUGCAGAUGACAUGAUCUUAUACACAGAAAACCCCAACGAAUCCACCAGAAAACUACUGAAACUAAUAGAAGAGUUUGGCAGAGUCUCAGGUUAUAAGAUAAACAUACAAAAAUCACUUGGAUUCCUCUACAUCAACAAAAAGAACAUCGAAGAGGAAAUAAACAAAUCAAUACCAUUCACAGUAGCCCCCAGGAAGAUAAAAUACUUAGGAAUAAAUCUUACCAAGGAUGUAAAAGACCUAUACAAAGAAAACUACAAAGCUCUACUACAAGAAAUUAAAAGGACAUACUUAAGUGGAAAAACAUACCUUGCUCAUGGAUAGGAAGACUUAACGUAGUAAAAAUGUCUAUUCUACCAAAAGCCAUCUAUACAUACAAUGCACUUCUGAUCCAAAUUCCAAUGUCAUUUUUUAAGGUGAUAGAGAAAUAAAUCACCAACUUCAUAUGGAAGGGAAAGAAGCCUCGGAUAAGCAAAGCAUUACUGAAAAAGAAGAAGAAAGUGGGAGGCCUCACUCUACCUGAUUUCAGAACCUAUUAUACAGCCACAGUAGUCAAAACAGCCUGGUAUUGGUACAACAACAGGCACAUAGACCAGUGGAACAGAAUUGAGAACCAAGAUAUAAAUCCACCCACAUAUGAGCAGCUGGUAUUUGACAAAGGCUCUGAGUCAGUUAAUUGGGGAAAAGAUAGUCUUUUUAACAAAUGGUGCUGGCAUAACUGGAUAUCCAUUUGCAAAAAAAUGAAACAGGACCCAUACCUCACACCACGCACAAAAACUAACUCCAAGUGGAUCAAAGACCUAAACAUAAGGACUAAAACGAUAAAGAUCAUGGAAGAAAAAAUAGGGACAACCUUAGGAGCCCUAAUACAAGGCAUAAACAGAAUACAAAACAUUACCAAAAGUGACGAAGAGAAACCAGAUAACUGGGAGCUCCUAAAAAUCAAACACCUAUGCUCAUCUAAAGACUUCACCAAAAGAGUAAAAAGACCACCUACAGACUGGGAAAGAAUUUUCAGCUAUGACAUCUCCGACCAGCGCCUGAUCUCUAAAAUCUAUGAUUCUGUCAAAACUCAACCAGAAAAAGACAAACAACCCAAUCAAGAAGUGGGCAAAGGAUAUGAAUACACACUUCACUAAAGAAGAUAUUCAGGCAGCUAACAGAUACAUGAGAAAAUGCUCUCGAUCAUUAGCCAUUAGAGAAAUGCAAAUUAAAACCACGAUGAGAUUCCAUCUCACUCCAACAAGGCUGGAAUUAAUCCAAAAAACACAAAAUAAUAAAUGUUGGAGAGGCUGCAGAGAGAUUGGAACUCUUAUACACUGCUGGUGGGAGUGUAAAAUGGUACAACCACUUUGGAAAUCUAUCUGGCGUUAUCUUAAACAGAAAUAGAACUACCAUACAACGCAGAAAUCCCACUCCUCGGAAUAUACCCUACAGAAACAAGAGCCUUUACACAAACAGAUAUAUGCACACCCAUGUUUAUUGCAGCACUGUUUACAAUAGCAAAAAGCUGGAAGCAACCAAGGUGUCCAUCAACGGAUGAAUGGGUAAAUAAAUUUUGGUAUAUUCACACAAUGGAAUACUACGCAUCGAUAAAGAACAGUGAGGAAUCUGUGAAACAUUUCAUAACACGGAGGAACCUGGAAGGCAUUAUGCUGAGCGAAAUUAGUCAGAGGCAAAAGGACAAAUAUUGUAUAAGACCACUAUUAUAAGAUCUUGAGAAAUAGUAUAAUCG
This is a long non-coding RNA of Loxodonta africana (African savanna elephant), 8638 nucleotides long. RefSeq lists it as uncharacterized. NCBI's taxonomy places the organism in Eukaryota, Metazoa, Chordata, Mammalia, Proboscidea, Elephantidae. The record is from RefSeq and is a predicted model, not a curated record. The transcript has 4 exons.